GACGAACGCUGGCGGCGUGCCUAAUACAUGCAAGUCGAACGCACGAAGUUGAAGAGCUUGCUCUUUAACCAAGUGAGUGGCGGACGGGUGAGUAACACGUGGGUAACCUGCCCAUUAGAGGGGGAUAACAUUCGGAAACGGAUGCUAAUACCGCAUAGUUUCAGGAAUCGCAUGAUUCUUGAAGGAAAGGUGGCUUCGGCUACCACUAAUGGAUGGACCCGCGGCGUAUUAGCUAGUUGGUGAGGUAAUGGCUCACCAAGGCAAUGAUACGUAGCCGACCUGAGAGGGUGAUCGGCCACACUGGGACUGAGACACGGCCCAGACUCCUACGGGAGGCAGCAGUAGGGAAUCUUCCGCAAUGGACGAAAGUCUGACGGAGCAACGCCGCGUGAGUGAAGAAGGUUUUCGGAUCGUAAAACUCUGUUGUUAAAGAAGAACAAGGAUGAGAGUAACUGCUCAUCCCCUGACGGUAUUUAACCAGAAAGCCACGGCUAACUACGUGCCAGCAGCCGCGGUAAUACGUAGGUGGCAAGCGUUGUCCGGAUUUAUUGGGCGUAAAGCGAGCGCAGGCGGUUCUUUAAGUCUGAUGUGAAAGCCCCCGGCUCAACCGGGGAGGGUCAUUGGAAACUGGAGAACUUGAGUGCAGAAGAGGAGAGUGGAAUUCCACGUGUAGCGGUGAAAUGCGUUGAUAUGUGGAGGAACACCAGUGGCGAAGGCGACUCUCUGGUCUGUAACUGACGCUGAGGCUCGAAAGCGUGGGGAGCAAACAGG
This 771-nucleotide ribosomal RNA is filed under the name uncultured Vagococcus sp. Its description in RNAcentral is "bacterial SSU rRNA". It matches the Rfam family "Bacterial small subunit ribosomal RNA", at positions 28 to 776 of the family's 1533-position model. The record is from RNAcentral. Lineage: Bacteria; Bacillati; Bacillota; Bacilli; Lactobacillales; Enterococcaceae.